This 245-nucleotide ribosomal RNA is filed under the name uncultured bacterium. RNAcentral describes it as "partial 16S ribosomal RNA". It matches the Rfam family "Bacterial small subunit ribosomal RNA", at positions 524 to 767 of the family's 1533-position model. The record is from RNAcentral.
UACGUGAUCCUCGAGCGUUAUCCGGAUUUAUUGGGCGUAAAGCGCACGUAGGUGCAUUGUUAGGUCUUCUGUCAAACUUCUGAGGCUUAACCUUAGAAUCGCGGAAGAAACCGGCAAAGUAGAGGGCGUUAGGGGCUGAUGGAACGGUCGGUGUAGGGGUGAAAUCCGUUGAUAUCGACCGGAACACCAAAAGCGAAGGCAUUCAGCUGGGGCGACCCUGACACUGAGGUGCGAAAGCGUGGGGA